AGUGUCACUAGGAGGUGAACUACUGUAACAGUUAAGUGUGUUAUAGUGUCACCAUCCAGGAGGUGAACUACUGAAAAGUUCAGUGUGUUAUAGUGUCACUAGCAUGUGAACUACUGUAACAGUUAAGUGUGUAAUAGUGUCACCAUCCAGGAGGUGAACUACUACAACAGUUCAGUGUGUUAUAGUGUCUCACUCUACAUGGUGAACUACUGUAACAGUACAGUGUGUUAUAGUGUCACUAGGAGGUGAACUACUGUAACAGUUCAGUGUGUUUUAGUGAGUUUGUUAUAGUGUCACUAUCUAGGAGGUGAACUACUGUAACAGUUCAGUGUGUUUUAGUGAGUUUGUUAUAGUGUCACUAUCUAGGAGGUGAACUACUGUAACAGUUCAGUGUGAUAUAGUGUCACUGGGAGGUGAACUACUUUAACAGUUCAGUGUGUUUUAGUGUCACUAGGAGUAGAAAUACUGUAACAGUUCAGUGUGUUAUAGUGUCUCUAGGAGGUGAACUACUGUAACAGUUAUGUGUGUUAUAGUGUCUCAAUGAGGUCAACAACUGUAACAGUUCAGUGUGUUUUUGUGUCACUAGGAGGUGAACUACUGUAACAGUUCAGUGUGUUAUAGUGUCACUAGGAGGUGAACUACUGUAACAGUUCAGUGUGUUUUAGUGUCUCU
RNAcentral lists this long non-coding RNA (672 nucleotides) under Salmo salar (Atlantic salmon). RNAcentral's name for it is "lncRNA (ENSSSAG00000103059.1)". Lineage: Eukaryota; Metazoa; Chordata; Actinopteri; Salmoniformes; Salmonidae. The record is from RNAcentral.